UACGUAGGGUGCGAGCGUUAAUCGGAAUUACUGGGCGUAAAGCGUGCGCAGGCGGUUUUGUAAGCCAGAUGUGAAAUCCCCGGGCUUAACCUGGGAAUGGCCUUUGGGACUGCAAGGCUUGAGUGCGGCAGAGGAGACUGGAAUUCCCGGUGUAGCAGUGAAAUGCGUAGAUAUCGGGAGGAAUACCGAUGGCGAAGGCAGGUCUCUGGGCUGACACUGACGCUCAUGCACGAAAGCGUGGGGAGCAAACAGG
This 253-nucleotide ribosomal RNA is filed under the name uncultured bacterium. Its description in RNAcentral is "partial 16S ribosomal RNA". It matches the Rfam family "Bacterial small subunit ribosomal RNA", at positions 524 to 776 of the family's 1533-position model. The record is from RNAcentral.